This is a non-coding RNA of Podarcis lilfordi (Lilford's wall lizard), 542 nucleotides long. Lineage: Eukaryota; Metazoa; Chordata; Lepidosauria; Squamata; Lacertidae. The record is from the annotation of a GenBank genome assembly.
UUUGGAUAAGAGAGCUCACCAUGGCCUGGACUCUGGUUUUUCUGGCCCUUCUCAGUUACUGCUCAGGUAAGGAUGGGGAGGAAUAACAUCUCUUUUGCCGUGGAGCCAACAGCACAAUAAACUAUAAUAUAUAUUCAUUUAUUAUGUUUAUUUAUUAUGGAAACUUAAAGCUCCAGUUAUAUAUAUUUGAGAAGACAGAGGAUGGAGAGUCAUGCUAUUCUUUUUCUUUUUCAAAAGGUGCCAAUUCAGAGCCAACAGUGACUCAGACAGGCUCCCAGUCUGUGUCCCUGGGCCAAACUGUGAAACUCUCCUGCUCUGGAAGUAGUGGUGGUAGCUGGGACUACUUUCACUGGUAUCAACAGAAACCUGGACAGGCUCCUCGCUUUGUGUGGUCUGGCUCCAGCACCAGGGGAGAAGGGAUCCCAGAUCGGUUCACUGGCUCUGAAUCUGGGAACACUGGCUAUUUAACCAUCUCCAACACCCAGCCUGAAGAUGAGGCCGUUUAUUACUGUGGUGCCUGGGAGGAUGACAGCAACAUGUUU